Molecule: ribosomal RNA, 1161 nt
Filed under: Triticum aestivum (bread wheat)
Lineage: Eukaryota; Viridiplantae; Streptophyta; Magnoliopsida; Poales; Poaceae
Description: partial small subunit ribosomal RNA
Source: RNAcentral
AUGGCAGCAACUUACCCUAUGCCUGAUCCACCGGUGCUGAACAACUAUGCUAUUACUCAAAGACUCGACAACUCUGCUACCGAGACAGCCGGCAGAGACAAGUCCAUAGGCUACCUGGACAUCUUCGUCCACCAGGCGCGCGACAUCCACAAUGUUUGCAUCUACCAGAAGCAGGACGUGUAUGCAAAACUGAGCCUCACAAGCGACCCACAGGUGUCGUGCUCGACCAAGGUGAUCAAUGGGGGUGGCCAGAACCCGGUGUUCGACGAGGGUCUACGGCUAGACGUGCGCAGCGUGGAGGCGUCGCUGAGGUGCGAGGUGUGGAUGCUGAGCAGGGUGAAGAACUACCUGGAGGACCAGCUUCUCGGCUUCACCCUCGUUCCUCUGUCAGACAUCCUUCUGGCCGAUGGAAAUCUGGCCCAGGAGUUCUCCAUGUCGUCCUCCGACCUGCUCCACUCGCCGGCAGGGUUUGUGCACCUGUCCCUGUCUUACGUCGGUAGCUCUCCGGAUGUCAUCGAGAUCUCAUCGCUCAAUAAGUCGGCGUCGGCGGUCACCGACUGUGGAAAUGGCAGCUUGGAUCCUUGUGAGAUCGAAAAGAUGGAGUUCCCAGACUUGAACAUGGUGAACGAGAAUGAAAUGAUGGUCUCCAAGUAUUUCGAGAUGGACUGUGGGAGUGCAGUGAAGGCUGAGACUGCAAGUUACCACAGCUUGAUGCAGAUGAGCCUGGUCCUGAGCUGUGUCUCUACCACAGGCUCCUCCCCGGAGCUCUCCCCCAUGACGCAAUCGGUCUCUGAGCCGUCCGAGACCGCCGUCGCGGCGGCAUCCUCCACCGGAAGCCAGAGGGAGAAGAGCCAGGGUGUUACUACGGAUGGCGAGGUCGAUUCUUCUGAGGCGCCAUCCAAGGAUGAGGUUGCCCAGCCUGCAGUGAUCAGCGUGAACCUCCAGCCCAGGGAAUCAGUUGUCCAGCAGGACAUAGUUGACAUGUACAUGAAGAGCAUGCAGCAGUUCACUGACUCCCUUGCGAAGAUGAAGCUCCCGCUGGAUGUCGAGAACAGUAGUCCCUCGGCUGAUAACGUCGACUCGAGUACAACAGAGAAGCCAUCGCCAUCGCCGUCGUCGAAGGGUCCUAGGGUCUUCUAUGGAAGCAGGGCCUUCUUCUAA